RNAcentral lists this ribosomal RNA (449 nucleotides) under uncultured bacterium. Its description in RNAcentral is "bacterial SSU rRNA". It matches the Rfam family "Bacterial small subunit ribosomal RNA", at positions 29 to 524 of the family's 1533-position model. The record is from RNAcentral.
AAUGAACGCUGGCGGCAUGCCUAACACAUGCAAGUCGAACGAAGCCUUCGGGCUUAGUGGCGCACGGGUGCGUAACGCGUGGGAAUCUGCCCUUGGGUUCGGAAUAACAGUGGGAAACUACUGCUAAUACCGAAUGAUGUCGUAAGACCAAAGAUUUAUCGCCCAGGGAUGAGCCCGCGUAGGAUUAGCUAGUUGGUGUGGUAAAAGCGCACCAAGGCGACGAUCCUUAGCUGGCUGAGAGGAUGAUCAGCCACACUGGGACUGAGACACGGCCCAGACUCCUACGGGAGGCAGCAGUGGGGAAUAUUGGACAAUGGGCGAAAGCCUGAUCCAGCAAUGCCGCGUGAGUGAUGAAGGCCUUAGGGUUGUAAAGCUCUUUUACCCGGGAUGAUAAUGACAGUACCGGGAGAAUAAGCUCCGGCUAACUCCGUGCCAGCCGCCGCGGUAAU